AAAUCAAUAGAUGGGUUUACCUUGAUCGCUCCUAGUUCUCUUAUGGUCGUUUCAACUUUUUGGCUACAAUGGAGUUGAAGGAAUAAGGAAUUUAUUCGAAAGGGAAGAUCUAGAGUUGGAAAAGCAACUUAAGCUUAUGAACAAACCUUCAAUCAAGACUAUAAAGACGUAGUAUGGGGAUAUAUAUGAUUGCGUGGAUUUCUACAAACAACCAGCAUUUGAUCAUCCUUUGUUGAAGAACCACAGUUUUCAUUUUGAGAUGAAACCUAUUUCAUUGCCUAAAAGAAAAAGAGAUCAAGUCUCCUCUAAAGAUGUAGAACCUGUACAUAUAGGGCUGAUUGGGGGAGGCUGUCCUCUUGGUACAGUUCCUAUUGGAAGAGUCACAAAGGAAGAUCUUAUUAGAGAGAGAAAUGCUUCGAAAGUAAUGUCUUUUGCAGAUAAUACUCUCGGUACUCAUUACGCCGUGGCUCGAACAAGAGGUGGGCAAAACAAGUUCAAUGGAGCUGGAACGACACUUCGCUUACAUAAUCCCCGUGUUUCCGGAAGACAAUAUAGUGCAGCAAGAUUCAUGCUUCAAAACGGGGCCGAUACCAUACAAGUAGG
This is a long non-coding RNA of Rhododendron vialii, 603 nucleotides long. RefSeq lists it as uncharacterized. The record is from RefSeq and is a predicted model, not a curated record. The transcript has 4 exons. Lineage: Eukaryota; Viridiplantae; Streptophyta; Magnoliopsida; Ericales; Ericaceae.